RNAcentral lists this transfer RNA (73 nucleotides) under Bos taurus (domestic cattle). It matches the Rfam family "tRNA". Rfam says of the family: Transfer RNA (tRNA) molecules are approximately 80 nucleotides in length. Their secondary structure includes four short double-helical elements and three loops (D, anti-codon, and T loops). Further hydrogen bonds mediate the characteristic L-shaped molecular structure. tRNAs have two regions of fundamental functional importance: the anti-codon, which is responsible for specific mRNA codon recognition, and the 3' end, to which the tRNAs corresponding amino acid is attached (by aminoacyl-tRNA synthetases). tRNAs cope with the degeneracy of the genetic code in two manners: having more than one tRNA (with a specific anti-codon) for a particular amino acid; and 'wobble' base-pairing, i.e. permitting non-standard base-pairing at the 3rd anti-codon position. RNAcentral also lists the same sequence under 2 other names. The record is from Rfam by way of RNAcentral. Lineage: Eukaryota; Metazoa; Chordata; Mammalia; Artiodactyla; Bovidae.
UCCCUGGUGGUCCAGUGGUUAGGACUCUGCACUUUCACUGCUCUGGGUGCGGGUUCGAUCCCUGGUUGGGGAA